CAGGGCUGGGCUCAUCUGGGACACCUGGGACUCUCUCACCUGGGUCUUUCAUCCUGGGCUUCUUCCUCUCAUGGUGGCCACAGGUGUUCCGAGGGGAUGAGGUUGGACACUACAAGGCCUGUGAAGGUGUAGGCUCUGAGGCUACAUAACUUCACUUCCACUGCAUUCUCUUGGUCAAAGCAGCAGACAAGGCUGCUCGGACACAAAGAGUGGAGAGACGCCUUCGUUGCUCUUGUCCCAUCUGUGUCCAGUUCAUUCCUACGAAGACAGCCACUCUCUAGGAGAGCCCCGACCAGGAAAGAAGUUAGUUUCAGGUGCAUCCGACUGGGGGAGACACAGAGGAGGCCUCUCAACAAAACAGGUAGCGAAUACGCCUUGGCGUCUAGAUGCCCAAUUAGCGGGAAGAAGAUGCAACUCCUGCACAUUCUUUGGUUAAUUAGAUCUGCUAUGAAAUCAU
Molecule: long non-coding RNA, 457 nt
Filed under: Homo sapiens (human)
Lineage: Eukaryota; Metazoa; Chordata; Mammalia; Primates; Hominidae
Description: HSALNT0315061
Source: RNAcentral